Molecule: ribosomal RNA, 400 nt
Filed under: Capra hircus (goat)
Lineage: Eukaryota; Metazoa; Chordata; Mammalia; Artiodactyla; Bovidae
Description: partial 16S ribosomal RNA
Rfam family: Bacterial large subunit ribosomal RNA
Source: RNAcentral
GAGGGUUUUACUGUCUCUUACUUCCAAUCAGUGAAAUUGACCUCCCCGUGAAGAGGCGGGAAUGAAUUAACAAGACGAGAAGACCCUAUGGAGCUUUAACUAACUAGUCCAAAAGAAAUAAAUUUAACCACCAAGGGAUAACAACAUCCUUUAUGGACUAGCAGUUUUGGUUGGGGUGACCUCGGAGAACAAGAGAUCCUCCGAGCGAUUUUAAAGACUAGACUUACAAGUCAAAUCAAAUUAUCGCUUAUUGAUCCAAAAACUUGAUCAACGGAACAAGUUACCCUAGGGAUAACAGCGCAAUCCUAUUCAAGAGUCCAUAUCGACAAUAGGGUUUACGACCUCGAUGUUGGAUCAGGACAUCCUGAUGGUGCAACCGCUAUCAAAGGUUCGUUUGUUC